UAGAAAAUUUUCCCUCUCUUCCGCCCAAAAUCUCUCUUUCUCGCUCUUCCACUGAUCAAAAUCCCACUCAUCAAUUGAUCUUUUAUUAAACGCACGCUUGAUUCAUCCAAUCACGUGAUCGAAAUAAUAGCCAGAUGAAGAAACCUUACGCUGGUUGUGAACUUGAUCUUGAGUAUCGACAUCCACGGCGUCGUUUUCUUGUCCUUCAUUGACGUUUUCGAGUUCGUCGAUCUUGUCCUCGAUGGAGGAACUGAAGCCCUCAGAAUCGGAGUCACCGUCAUUUAGCAGAGGGUUGGGGCGGUCAAGGAGGUGUUGCGGUUGAUAGAGAUGCGCGUGGAGGGGAGAGACUGAGAGAAGGAGGAGGAGCGCGGCGAUAACGGCACACACUUGUGACGGGGCCGGCGACGAGAUCUGAGACUUCGUAGCAUUUCCGCAGUUAAAGAUACCGGAAGAUGGUGACAGUGACGGACAUGAUUGAUGGUGUUAUUUUGCUAAGAGAGAAGGUGAGCUGAGAUUUGGAGCUCGUUGUUUAUCUUGUGUACUGGCAGUUUGUGCCUGCUGCUUCGUGAAGCCUAGACAAGAAAUAGCUGCUAAAUCUACUACUCAAAUAGUUCAUGAACAGCAUGGAAAUAUAGCUCCCGCUGCCCGAAUGACUAUGACCAGAAUAGUUCAUCCUCUUUUUCCUUGAAUCUACCAAGGCAAUUAGACGAUAAAAGUUCGUGUUACAAGCAAAGGGAACAUGCGUACUUACAAGAAUGCAAGAGGAGAAGGGCGUGUCUUCAAUGUGGAGUUAACAGAUCAAGAUGGCACACAAUUACAAGCAACAAUGUUCAAUGAAGCUGCAAGGAAAUUCUAUGACAGGUUCCAAUUGGGAAAGGUGUAUUACAUAUCUCGGGGAACACUUAGGGUUGGUAACAAGCAAUUCAAGACUGUGCAAAAUGAUUAUUAAAUGAGCUUGAGCAAAAUGGUUUUGGCUGCACUUUCGGGGUUGUCUGCGUUCUUUGGCCUUGGAAGGUGCGGGAAUUGGCAGAAAAAGAGCCUGAUAAUGGUGUCUUUAAAAUGCUUCGCUGUGAUGUUACUCGGUUUUUAACUACUAUUCUCAUUGGCACAACGUAUUACCCUCCCCCUUAAUUGUGGCAAAUAUUGGAACCACUGCAUUGGUCACAGAGGUAACAACAACUUUAUUUGGUGAGGCUAGUGUCAGUGCAGCAAUAGGAGUAAUGACUGUUUUGAUGUGGAAGGUGUAUAGGAUGGUGGUAUUGUAAGAGCUUGUUGGUAAUUUCUUGGUGGAGAUGAAGAAACAGAUUCUUCAUCAAGAAGAGUGAACCUGUUUGGUUGGGUGAUAAUAUUUUUUCUGUUUAUUGGGUUUUGAUUGUGAAAGUUUUAUUUUUGGGGUAAUAGGUUGUUGAAGUAGUAGCAUCGCAUACGAUGCUUUUGAUUUUGGAUUGUUUUUAGGUUUGAUGGGAGUGCCCAUCUUUUCCUCACUUUCUCUCAAUAAAUCUGUGUCCUGAAAGUUGUUGUGA
Long non-coding RNA from Pistacia vera, 1523 nucleotides. RefSeq lists it as uncharacterized. The record is from RefSeq and is a predicted model, not a curated record. The transcript is spliced from 6 exons. NCBI's taxonomy places the organism in Eukaryota, Viridiplantae, Streptophyta, Magnoliopsida, Sapindales, Anacardiaceae.